GUUCCAGACUCCUACGGGAGGCAGCAGUGGGGGCUCUUGGACAAUGGGGGAAACCCUGAUCCCGCGACGCCGCGUGAGUGAAGAAGUAUUUCGGUAUGUACCGCUCUGUCAGCAGGGAAGGAAGAAAUGCCGGUACCUGACCAAGAAGCCCCGGCUAACUACGUGCCAGCAGCCGCGGUAAUAAGUAGGGGGCAAGCGUUAUCCGGAAUUACUGGGUGUAAAGGGAGCGUAGACGGUGAUGCAAGUCUGGAGUGAAAGGCGGGGGCCCAACCCCCGGACUGCUCUGGAAACUGUGUAACUUGAGUGCAGGAGAGGUAAGCGGAAUUCCUAGUGUAGCGGUGAAAUGCGUAGAUAUUCGGAGGAACACCGGUGGCGAAGGCGGCCAACUGGGCUUUAACUGACGCUGAGGCUCGAAAGUGUGGGGAGCAAACAGGAUUAGAUACCCUGGUA
RNAcentral lists this ribosomal RNA (450 nucleotides) under uncultured bacterium. RNAcentral's name for it is "bacterial SSU rRNA". It matches the Rfam family "Bacterial small subunit ribosomal RNA", at positions 328 to 792 of the family's 1533-position model. The record is from RNAcentral.